Molecule: ribosomal RNA, 406 nt
Filed under: uncultured bacterium
Lineage: Bacteria
Description: partial 16S ribosomal RNA
Rfam family: Bacterial small subunit ribosomal RNA
Source: RNAcentral
AUUGAACGCUGGCGGCAGGCCUAACCCAUGCAAGUCGAACGAGUGGCGGACGGGUGAGUACUGUCUGGGAAACUGCCUGAUGGAGGGGGAUAACUACUGGAAAAGGAAGCUAAUACUGCCUACCAUCAGGUGUGCCCAGAUGGGAUUAUCUAGUUGGUGGGGUAACGGCUCACCAAGGAGACGAGCCCUAGCGGGUCUGAGAAGAUGACAAGACAAACGGGCACUUAGACACGGGUCAGAAUACUACGGGCGGCAGCAGUGGGGAGGAGUGCACAAUGGGCGCAAGCCUGAGGCAGCCAUGCCGCGUGUAUGAAGAAGGCCUUCGGGUUGUAAAGUACUUUCAGCGGGGAAGCGUUACACGCAGAAGAAGCACCGGCUAACUCCGUGCCAGCAGCCGCGGUAAUUC